This 460-nucleotide ribosomal RNA is filed under the name uncultured bacterium. RNAcentral's name for it is "partial 16S ribosomal RNA". It matches the Rfam family "Bacterial small subunit ribosomal RNA", at positions 338 to 795 of the family's 1533-position model. The record is from RNAcentral.
CCUACGGGGUGCUGCAGUGAGGAAUAUUGGUCAAUGGACGCGAGUCUGAACCAGCCAAGUAGCGUGAAGGAUGACUGCCCUAUGGGUUGUAAACUUCUUUUAUAUGGGAAUAAAACAGGAUAUGCAUACCCUCUUGUAUGUACCCUAUGAAUAAGGAUCGGCUAACUCCGUGCCAGCAGCCGCGGUAAUACGGAGGAUCCGAGCGUUCUCCGGAUUUAUUGGGUUUAAAGGGUGCGUAGGCGGUUUGUUACGUCAGCGGUCAAAAGCCGGGGCUCAACCCCGGCCCCGCCGUUGAAACUGGCAGUCUCGAGUUGGAGUGAAGUAUGCGGAAUGCGCGGUGUAGCGGUGAAAUGCAUAGAGAUCGCGCAGAACUCCGAUUGCGAAGGCAGCAUGCCGGCUCCACACUGACGCUGAGGCACGAAAGCGUGGGUAUCGAACAGGAUUAGAUACCCGGGUAGUC